AUUGAACGCUGGCGGCAUGCUUUACACAUGCAAGUCGAACGGUAACAGGCCGCAAGGUGCUGACGAGUGGCGAACGGGUGAGUAAUGCAUCGGAACGUGCCCAGUCGUGGGGGAUAACUACUCGAAAGAGUAGCUAAUACCGCAUACGAUCUAUGGAUGAAAGCGGGGGACCGUAAGGCCUCGCGCGAUUGGAGCGGCCGAUGUCAGAUUAGGUAGUUGGUGGGGUAAAGGCUCACCAAGCCAACGAUCUGUAGCUGGUCUGAGAGGACGACCAGCCACACUGGGACUGAGACACGGCCCAGACUCCUACGGGAGGCAGCAGUGGGGAAUUUUGGACAAUGGGCGCAAGCCUGAUCCAGCAAUGCCGCGUGCAGGAAGAAGGCCUUCGGGUUGUAAACUGCUUUUGUACGGAACGAAACGGCUCUGGUUAAUACCCGGGGCUAAUGACGGUACCGUAAGAAUGAGCACCGGCUAACUACGUG
RNAcentral lists this ribosomal RNA (482 nucleotides) under uncultured bacterium. RNAcentral's name for it is "partial 16S ribosomal RNA". It matches the Rfam family "Bacterial small subunit ribosomal RNA", at positions 30 to 507 of the family's 1533-position model. The record is from RNAcentral.